Molecule: ribosomal RNA, 656 nt
Filed under: uncultured bacterium
Lineage: Bacteria
Description: bacterial SSU rRNA
Rfam family: Bacterial small subunit ribosomal RNA
Source: RNAcentral
GAAAGUAAGACUAAUACCCAAUGACGUCUCUAGAAGACAUCUGAAAGAGAUUAAAGAUUUAUCGGUGAUGGAUGGGGAUGCGUCUGAUUAGCUUGUUGGCGGGGUAACGGCCCACCAAGGCGACGAUCAGUAGGGGUUCUGAGAGGAAGGUCCCCCACAUUGGAACUGAGACACGGUCCAAACUCCUACGGGAGGCAGCAGUGAGGAAUAUUGGUCAAUGGACGAGAGUCUGAACCAGCCAAGUAGCGUGCAGGAUGACGGCCCUAUGGGUUGUAAACUGCUUUUAUAAGGGAAUAAAGUGAGUCUCGUGAGACUUUUUGCAUGUACCUUAUGAAUAAGGACCGGCUAAUUCCGUGCCAGCAGCCGCGGUAAUACGGAAGGUCCGGGCGUUAUCCGGAUUUAUUGGGUUUAAAGGGAGCGUAGGCCGGAGAUUAAGCGUGUUGUGAAAUGUAGACGCUCAACGUCUGCACUGCAGCGCGAACUGGUUUCCUUGAGUACGCACAAAGUGGGCGGAAUUCGUGGUGUAGCGGUGAAAUGCUUAGAUAUCACGAAGAACUCCGAUUGCGAAGGCAGCUUACUGGAGCGCAACUGACGCUGAAGCUCGAAAGUGCGGGUAUCGAACGGGAUUAGAUACCCUGGUAGUCCGCACGGUAACC